GAAUAUUUGGUAGAAGUGGGGUCUGCUCAGAGACCAGGCGUCAAACUAUUGUGAGAAUCUCAUGAUAAUAUUGUCUGCCUAAUGACCAGAGGUGACUGAUCAUUAGGGGCAGGUGGGGCUGUGUAGCAGCAGCUACAUGACUUAAUUCCCAAAGUCAUCAGAAAGUUUGCCCAGAAGAAGAACCGCCGUGCCACCUUUCUCUUCAAGUGAGCCCUCAGCCUUGGUGCUCAAACUUGGCCGCCAACCAACACUGACCUGCCACUAACCUCUGUGCUGCAGUCCGUCCCAGCAGCAAACGGCCUCGUCACCCUUUAGGCUGUGGAACAGAGGGACCCUGUGGAUGUCCCCUCACCAUCCUCCACACUUCGGUGGAUCUACCAGCCGCUCCUUGUGGUGUCACUCGUCUGACAGCUAGCAAUCAACCCUUUUCCAUUCCAUGAUUCAUCUGUCUUGGUCGUUUGUCAUACAAAGCUCCCUUGUGGAUGUAAGGAAACGACUGUGAAUUCUGAGCACGCUGCACCAUCAGGAUCUUUUUCCAGAGUUACACUGCACUUCAGGUUAAAUAAUGACGUUUCCAAUAACUGGUUGAAGUGUUUUUACAUCAAUUCGUACCAUACACGAUGGCUUCCUAUGCAGAAAGCAAUGACUUGAAUCAUACUGCAGUGUUCAAUAUUUGCAAACAGAAUGUUCAAAUACACGUUAUCCUUUGUUUCCUGUGAAGUGUAUGAUUGCUGGUUCUCUUUAAUCUUGUGGAAUAAACGACAGUCAACAGACC
Molecule: long non-coding RNA, 775 nt
Organism: Esox lucius (northern pike)
Lineage: Eukaryota; Metazoa; Chordata; Actinopteri; Esociformes; Esocidae
Source: Ensembl